GCGGGUGUAGUCCAGUUGGUUAAGACGGCGGCUUCCCAAGCCACUAACUCGGGUUCGAAUCCCGGCACCCGCA
Molecule: transfer RNA, 73 nt
Organism: Candidatus Methanomethylophilus sp. 1R26
Lineage: Archaea; Methanobacteriati; Thermoplasmatota; Thermoplasmata; Methanomassiliicoccales; Methanomethylophilaceae
Rfam family: tRNA
About the family: Transfer RNA (tRNA) molecules are approximately 80 nucleotides in length. Their secondary structure includes four short double-helical elements and three loops (D, anti-codon, and T loops). Further hydrogen bonds mediate the characteristic L-shaped molecular structure. tRNAs have two regions of fundamental functional importance: the anti-codon, which is responsible for specific mRNA codon recognition, and the 3' end, to which the tRNAs corresponding amino acid is attached (by aminoacyl-tRNA synthetases). tRNAs cope with the degeneracy of the genetic code in two manners: having more than one tRNA (with a specific anti-codon) for a particular amino acid; and 'wobble' base-pairing, i.e. permitting non-standard base-pairing at the 3rd anti-codon position.
Source: Rfam